RNAcentral lists this ribosomal RNA (620 nucleotides) under uncultured bacterium. Its description in RNAcentral is "bacterial SSU rRNA". It matches the Rfam family "Bacterial small subunit ribosomal RNA", at positions 202 to 842 of the family's 1533-position model. The record is from RNAcentral.
AAAAACUGAGGUGGUGUAAGAUGGGCCCGCGUCUGAUUAGGUAGUUGGUGGGGUAGAAGCCUACCAAGCCGACGAUCAGUAGCCGACCUGAGAGGGCGACCGGCCACAUUGGGACUGAGACACGGCCCAAACUCCUACGGGAGGCAGCAGUGGGGAAUAUUGCACAAUGGGGGAAACCCUGAUGCAGCGACGCCGCGUGAGUGAGGAAGUAUUUCGGUAUGUAAAGCUCUAUCAGCAGGGAAGAAAAUGACGGUACCUGACUAAGAAGCCCCGGCUAACUACGUGCCAGCAGCCGCGGUAAUACGUAGGGGGCAAGCGUUAUCCGGAUUUACUGGGUGUAAAGGGAGCGUAGACGGAUAAGCAAGUCUGAUGUGAAAAUCCGGGGCCCAACCCCGGAAUUGCAUUGGAAACUGCAUAUCUAGAGUGUCGGAGAGGCAAGUGGAAUUCCUGGUGUAGCGGUGAAAUGCGUAGAUAUCAGGAGGAACACCAGUGGCGAAGGCGGCUUGCUGGACGAUGACUGACGUUGAGGCUCGAAAGCGUGGGGAGCAAACAGGAUUAGAUACCCUGGUAGUCCACGCCGUAAACGAUGACUACUAGGUGUCGGGAGGCAAAGCCUUUCG